GCCAGCUUAGCUCAGUUGGUAGAGCAACGCACUCGUAACGCGUAGGUCGUAGGUUCGACUCCUAUAGCUGGCAUCA
Molecule: transfer RNA, 76 nt
Filed under: Enterococcus faecium
Lineage: Bacteria; Bacillati; Bacillota; Bacilli; Lactobacillales; Enterococcaceae
Also listed under: 4 other names
Description: tRNA-Thr
Rfam family: tRNA
About the family: Transfer RNA (tRNA) molecules are approximately 80 nucleotides in length. Their secondary structure includes four short double-helical elements and three loops (D, anti-codon, and T loops). Further hydrogen bonds mediate the characteristic L-shaped molecular structure. tRNAs have two regions of fundamental functional importance: the anti-codon, which is responsible for specific mRNA codon recognition, and the 3' end, to which the tRNAs corresponding amino acid is attached (by aminoacyl-tRNA synthetases). tRNAs cope with the degeneracy of the genetic code in two manners: having more than one tRNA (with a specific anti-codon) for a particular amino acid; and 'wobble' base-pairing, i.e. permitting non-standard base-pairing at the 3rd anti-codon position.
Source: RNAcentral